GACGAACGCUGGCGGCGUGCUUAACACAUGCAAGUCGAACGGAAAGGCCCUGCUUUUGUGGGGUGCUCGAGUGGCGAACGGGUGAGUAACACGUGAGUAACCUGCCCUUGACUUUGGGAUAACUUCAGGAAACUGGGGCUAAUACCGGAUAGGAGCUCCUGCUGCAUGGUGGGGGUUGGAAAGUUUCGGCGGUUGGGGAUGGACUCGCGGCUUAUCAGCUUGUUGGUGGGGUAGUGGCUUACCAAGGCUUUGACGGGUAGCCGGCCUGAGAGGGUGACCGGCCACAUUGGUACUGAGAUACGGCCCAGACUCCUACGGGAGGCAGCAGUGGGGAAUAUUACACAAUGGGCGGAAGCCUGAUGCAGCAACGCCGCGUGCGGGAUGACGGCCUACGGGUUGUAAACCGCUUUCGCCUGUGACGAAGCGUGAGUGACGGUAAUGGGUAAAGAAGCACCGGCUAACUACGUG
This 468-nucleotide ribosomal RNA is filed under the name uncultured bacterium. RNAcentral describes it as "partial 16S ribosomal RNA". It matches the Rfam family "Bacterial small subunit ribosomal RNA", at positions 28 to 507 of the family's 1533-position model. The record is from RNAcentral.